CUCCCGCCGGCGACCGGCGCACGGGUGAGUAACACGUAUGAAACCUACCCGUAGCAGGGGGAUAAGCGGAAGAAAUUCCGUCUAAUACCGCGUAACAACCCAUGGAGGCAUCUCUGUGGGUUUAAAGGAAGCGAUUCCGGCUACGGAUGGUCAUGCGUCGCAUUAGCUUGUUGGCGGGGUAACGGCCCACCAAGGCGACGAUGCGUAGGGGUUCUGAGAGGAAGGUCCCCCACACUGGUACUGAGACACGGACCAGACUCCUACGGAAGGCAGCAG
RNAcentral lists this ribosomal RNA (276 nucleotides) under uncultured bacterium. RNAcentral's name for it is "partial 16S ribosomal RNA". It matches the Rfam family "Bacterial small subunit ribosomal RNA", at positions 82 to 354 of the family's 1533-position model. The record is from RNAcentral.